UACGUAGGGGGCAAGCGUUGUCCGGAAUUAUUGGGCGUAAAGAGCUCGUAGGCGGUCUGUUACGUCUGCUGUGAAAACCCGGGGCUUAACCCUGGGCUUGCAGUGGAUACGGGCAGACUAGAGGCAGGUAGGGGAGAAUGGAAUUCCUGGUGUAGCGGUGAAAUGCGCAGAUAUCAGGAAGAACACCCGUGGCGAAGGCGGUUCUCUGGGACGGUACUGACGCUGAGACGCGAAAGCGUGGGGAGCGAACAGG
This 253-nucleotide ribosomal RNA is filed under the name uncultured bacterium. RNAcentral describes it as "partial 16S ribosomal RNA". It matches the Rfam family "Bacterial small subunit ribosomal RNA", at positions 524 to 776 of the family's 1533-position model. The record is from RNAcentral.